AAUCAAGAUUUUUGUCAACAUGGCUGCUGCUCUAUGGUGAAACAAGCCCAAAAUCCUUAGGUUUGCACUGAUGCUUAACUUGCUAUACAGAGACACUCGCCAUUCUCCUCCUCCUGGUCCUCAUCACGUUCAUCUUCUUCCAUUUCCUCCUCCUCCUCUUCCUCCUCCUCUUCCUCCUCCUCCGCCCCUGGAUAGAGAUGUCGAUUGUUUCCCAGCAUCCUUUGUUGCUCCUCGUCGCUGGACAGGGGGCUGAACGGCAUCGUCAUGGCGACAGAGAGGGCGGUACCAGUGGCAACACCAUCAUUCCCAGAGAGACACUGCAAUGGAUGGGAGGAAAGAGAAGACAUGAUCAAAACAGAGACAAAGUUUGUACAUAAGAGAGCUGAGAAGCCACUUCAGAGCAUCAGUGAUGCACCGCUGUAUUCAAGUACAAGCUGAGCAAGAUAACAGAUCUGUCCCUGGUGGCUCCUGGAUGGUUCAGCAUGCUGUUUCAGGAUUUUCAGCACCACUACAUUCUGGACAGCUCCACACAGAACCAAACAGCAGAAUAAUAAACGACGAGAGAGACGACACUCAAAUUCGCACCAGAGGACAGACCAAUCAGCAGAGAGAGCUGGAGAAACACCAAAUAAACAUCUGAUCUGAAAGUAACUGAGUUAAGCUUAAGUACAAUUUUCCGGUAUUUCUACUUUACUUGCCAGUUUAUAAUUCUACUCCACUACAUUUAAGACAAGAAAUAUUGUACUUUAGCGUUUGCUAUAGUUACUUUGCAAAAUCAGAUUUUCCAUACAAAAAUCUGAACACUGAUUGAACCAGAUCUGAAUACUAUGCAAAAACAAAACUGUACAAAUCUAAAUUUCAAAUGAUGGUUUCUCAUUUAAACAUUCAACCAGAUACAGUAUAUAUAUAAUAAGUAUCAAGUUGCUGUUUGUUUUGAUUGUACUUCGAAUGACUAUCAAGUACAGAAUAAUGAGGCAACUUUAAAUUGUAUGUGAGUGUAUGUGUGUGUGAGACACGGGGGAAUAAGAGCCAUGUUGUGAAGGGGAAAAAAGUGUUAGACACAUAAUAUCAAGGCUUUCCUCAUGGGACACUGAGAUAAUACUACCAGCUGUCAGUUCGACAAGAAACAAGAAUAAAAAGAAUAAAAAAUGAAGAAGUGCCACAAGAAAAUGAAAAAGAAAAGGGAAGGGUGGACAACUGGACCUAGCAUGUGGCGAAGAAUAUUCAUUUCAACAUGUCAGUUAGGCUGGGGUCAAGUCUUAAAAUUCUAUUCUUCUUGAAAAAUAAAAGAAUGGCAGAAUGGGGAGAUAAUUACAACUUUCUAAUAUGCAACAUGAUCCAAGAAUUUUCUUGAAUAAAGUAGCAUUCAUUUGAUGCUGGUGGAGCAAAAUGUACCGAGUUUGCGCCAUUUUGUGGCAAUAACUAAAAUAAAUGAAACUGCUUUACAGAAAAUUGGAAUUCUUGCCACAAUCCUUCACUUGAUCUAACAAAAACACAAUUUCAAGCCUGAAUGUGAAGUUAAACGGCUUGUUAAACAUUUUUUCUGUUUGGAGAAUAUAUGUCAGUAUUCUCUCUCUUUUGAUUUCUCCUCUCUUCUCACACAAACAAACACACUGAGUGCAGGACUGUUUGUGACAAACACUGACUUUCUUGCAGCGCUUUUCUGCCUCCAACUUUUGAAAGCCUAUUAGCAGGCAGACUUCUGUUCACAGUCAUUAAGAAAGACGGAGAUAUCAGACGAGUGUGCAGCAAACUGUAGAAGUUUAACAGACAUGACAUCCAGAUUGUAUCACCCACUAACAGAGACAAGAACUUUGAGGACACAGUCUUGUAACACUUUACAACCAAUGACAAAUGAUGAAUUAAUCAUUAUUAUUACUUUGCAUUUUAUCAUUACUGCAUCAACCUGUAAGUGGCAUUUUAAAUAUUACUCUUACUACUUCAUGCACUCUUGGGUUGUUAA
Long non-coding RNA from Siniperca chuatsi (mandarin fish), 1963 nucleotides. RefSeq lists it as uncharacterized. Lineage: Eukaryota; Metazoa; Chordata; Actinopteri; Centrarchiformes; Sinipercidae. The transcript has 3 exons. The record is from RefSeq and is a predicted model, not a curated record.